AUGACCAUUUCCCCGUUAUAUAGUACUUCUCCUCUGCUUUGCUCCUCAAUGUACCCUCAUCUUCGAUUUCUUCCCUUCAACUCUCUGAUGUUGCUUUCCUUCCUCAUGCAGGCACACCCCGAUGCUCCUCGAUCAGGGCACCCGAUGUCAAGCAGGUUUUUGGUCUAUCUGUGCACCAUCUUUGGGGUCCAGGCGUACGCCUCCAUGCUUGCCGGCGGCGCCCUUUCCUUCAACCUCGUCUUCCCCUCCAGCGAGCCGGACAUUUGGAGGCUCAUGGGGAUGUGGUUCAUCUGGAUGUUCACUAUACCUUCUCUGCGAGCCCGUGACUGCUCAAACAAAAAUAAAGAGGCUCUCAACUAUUUGUUUAUCCUAGUCCCUUUGAUCAACGCAGUUUUACUCAAACUCUAUCCUUUGUGGUUAUUACUGUUACAUGUUACAUGUAGAGAUGCUUCAUGA
This 456-nucleotide ribosomal RNA is filed under the name Triticum aestivum (bread wheat). RNAcentral's name for it is "partial small subunit ribosomal RNA". The record is from RNAcentral. Lineage: Eukaryota; Viridiplantae; Streptophyta; Magnoliopsida; Poales; Poaceae.